UGUGAACUGCGAAUGGCUCAUUAAAUCAGUUAUCGUUUAUUUGAUAGUACCUUACUACAUGGAUACCUGUGGUAAUUCUAGAGCUAAUACAUGCUAAAAACCUCGACUUCGGAAGGGGUGUAUUUAUUAGAUAAAAAACCAACGCCCUUCGGGGCUCCUUGGUGAAUCAUAAUAACUAAGCGAAUCGCAUGGCCUUGCGCCGGCGAUGGUUCAUUCAAAUUUCUGCCCUAUCAACUUUCGAUGGUAGGAUAGUGGCCUACCAUGGUGGCAACGGGUAACGGGGAAUUAGGGUUCGAUUCCGGAGAGGGAGCCUGAGAAACGGCUACCACAUCCAAGGAAGGCAGCAGGCGCGCAAAUUACCCAAUCCCGACACGGGGAGGUAGUGACAAUAAAUACUGAUACGGGGCUCUUUUGGGUCUCGUAAUUGGAAUGAGUACAAUCUAAAUCCCUUAACGAGGAACAAUUGGAGGGCAAGUCUGGUGCCAGCAGCCGCGGUAAUUCCAGCUCCAAUAGCGUAUAUUAAAGUUGUUGCAGUUAAAAAGCUCGUAGUUGAACCUUGGGUCUGGCUGGCCGGUCCGCCUCACCGCGAGUACUGGUCCGGCUGGACCUUUCCUUCUGGGGAACCUCAUGGCCUUCACUGGCUGUGGGGGGAACCAGGACUUUUACUGUGAAAAAAUUAGAGUGUUCAAAGCAGGCCUUUGCUCGAAUACAUUAGCAUGGAAUAAUAGAAUAGGACGUGCGGUUCUAUUUUGUUGGUUUCUAGGACCGCCGUAAUGAUUAAUAGGGAUAGUCGGGGGCGUCAGUAUUCAGCUGUCAGAGGUGAAAUUCUUGGAUUUGCUGAAGACUAACUACUGCGAAAGCAUUCGCCAAGGAUGUUUUCAUUAAUCAGGGAACGAAAGUUAGGGGAUCGAAGACGAUCAGAUACCGUCGUAGUCUUAACCAUAAACUAUGCCGACUAGGGAUCGGGCGGUGUUUCUAUAAUGACCCGCUCGGCACCUUACGAGAAAUCAAAG
This 1013-nucleotide ribosomal RNA is filed under the name Aspergillus glaucus. RNAcentral's name for it is "SSU rRNA". It matches the Rfam family "Eukaryotic small subunit ribosomal RNA", at positions 81 to 1103 of the family's 1831-position model. The record is from RNAcentral. Lineage: Eukaryota; Fungi; Ascomycota; Eurotiomycetes; Eurotiales; Aspergillaceae.